Molecule: ribosomal RNA, 253 nt
Filed under: uncultured bacterium
Lineage: Bacteria
Description: partial 16S ribosomal RNA
Rfam family: Bacterial small subunit ribosomal RNA
Source: RNAcentral
UACGUAGGGGCCUAGCGUUGUCCGGAAUCAUUGGGCGUAAAGAGCGCGUAGGCGGCCCGGUAAGUCCGUUGUAAAAGUCAAAGGCUCAACCUUUGAAUGCCGAUGGAUACUGCCGGGCUAGAGUCCGGAAGAGGCGAGUGGAAUUCCUGGUGUAGCGGUGGAAUGCGCAGAUAUCAGGAGGAACACCGAUAGCGAAGGCAGCUCGCUGGGACGGUACUGACGCUAAGGCGCGAAAGCGUGGGGAGCAAACAGG